RNAcentral lists this ribosomal RNA (478 nucleotides) under uncultured bacterium. RNAcentral describes it as "partial 16S ribosomal RNA". It matches the Rfam family "Bacterial small subunit ribosomal RNA", at positions 28 to 523 of the family's 1533-position model. The record is from RNAcentral.
GACGAACGCUGGCGGCGUGCUUAACACAUGCAAGUCGAACGGUAAGGCCCUUCGGGGUACACGAGUGGCGAACGGGUGAGUAACACGUGGGUGAUCUGCCCUGCACUUCGGGAUAAGCCUGGGAAACUGGGUCUAAUACCGGAUAGGACUCCUGGCUUCAUGGUUGGGGGUGGAAAGCUUUUGCGGUGUGGGAUGGGCCCGCGGCCUAUCAGCUUGUUGGUGGGGUAAUGGCCUACCAAGGCGACGGCGGGUAGCCGGCCUGAGAGGGUUACCGGUCACACUGGGACUGAGAUACGGCCCAGACUCCUACGGGAGGCAGCAGUGGGGAAUAUUGUACAAUGGGCGCAAGCCUGAUGCAGCGACGCCGCGUGAGGGAUGACGGCCUUCGGGUUGUAAACCUCUUUCAGCUAUGACGAAGCGCAAGUGACGGUAGUAGCAGAAGAAGGACCGGCCAACUACGUGCCAGCCGCCGCGGUAA